GUGAGAUCUUCGGAUUGGGGCCGGCGCGUUCAGCAAUGGGCGCGGCGGAUGCUGAAAAGUCGAUCAAACUUGAUCAUUUAGAGGAAGUAAAAGUCGUAACAAGGUUUCCGUAGGUGAACCUGCGGAAGGAUCAUUACCGUCGUGGAGGCAGAGCGCUGCUCUUGCUUCUCGUGUGCACCAGGCCACGGCCGUGUGUGGAGUUGGGAGGUCCGCUCUGGGAGAGGAGAGCGGUUAAAUGGGCUGUUCCCCCACACUUUUGUGGCUUGCGGUCCUGCCUCUCGGGGCCGUGGUCCAUGAUUUUUUCUUUCUUGCUGUUCCUUUCCUGUUUUCUUGGACAAUUUUUAUUCUUGUGGACAACUUCUAACGGUGGACCCCUCGGCUCGUGCAACGAUGAAGAACGCAGCAAGCUGCGAUACCUAGUGUGAAUUGCAGAAUUCCGUGAAUCAUCGAGUCUUUGAACGCAAAUUGCGCCCUCGGUUUGAAGCCGGGGGCACGCCUGUCUGAGCGUCUGGUAUAUUGUCAAGGUGGUCCCCAAAGCUCUGGGCUUUUUAAGUAGGUGGAUUGCGGUGUUUGAGGGGUCGUCGGUUAUGGCUUCUUUCGAGACUGCAGCGGCGUCCCUUGAAGCGUUUUGGGUGGCAGGCGGGUGCUCCGUUUCUGGCGUCUUGCUUGUCGGGAAUCUUGACAGUGAUGAGGCGAGUGGUUACGGAGCAGCUGCUUGUUGCAAUUUGGGCUAUAG
RNAcentral lists this small RNA (736 nucleotides) under Vetulina stalactites. Its description in RNAcentral is "eukaryotic LSU rRNA". The stretch from base 356 to 510 matches the Rfam family "5.8S ribosomal RNA". The record is from RNAcentral. Lineage: Eukaryota; Metazoa; Porifera; Demospongiae; Sphaerocladina; Vetulinidae.